GCGAGGGCGCGGGGCUCUCGGCACCCCUCUCCCGUAGCGGGGCCCUGCCCCGGCUCUUAGAAAGAGCAUUGGGCUCGGAGCUAGAGCGCCGUGGGGCCGGCGCCCCAGCCCUUAGUGAAUUGCUUCAUCUGCCACUCAUGUCCUGCGCCCUGGAAGCUGCAGAGAGAGCCUCGGCUCCCCGUGCAAGCGUUGGGCUGACAACUGACAGAGGCGACGCUUGGAAUGAGACAUCCAAGGGUUCAAGGGUCAACCCUUUCCUCUAGGCCUAGCAGAUCAUACAUGCUCCUUCUUCUUAAACUUAUUAAGGAAAAAGGCAGCCACUCAUGCUUUCUGCCAACAAAUAUUGAUUGAGCACCUACUAUGCGCUAGACACGGUGCUAGACCUUGAGGAUGGAGGGGUGAAUGAGACAGGCAAAACUUCAUGUUCUUUUGGUGGAGACAAGCAAUAAACACUUGAAUACACAUCUCAGACAAGAUAGUGCUGCAGAUGGUGAUGGGUGUCAGGGAGACUCAUCACCUGAGGCAAGAGGAAAAGACAUUGUGGGAGACGGAGGAGCUGUUCUGUUUGAGACUCAGUGGCCGCAGAGGAAGGGCUUCCUGGGACAGUGCCCCUUAAGCUGAGACCUGAGCAAAGUGUGAGAUUUAGCAAGGCAAUUUUCUAAGGGAAGGUUUUUUAGAUAAAGCAGACUGCAGGUGCAAAGUUCCCAGCCCUCUCCCCAGCCCUUGCUGGUAGAAUGAUCUCUCAGGCUCCUGAGCCCCCAAAGCACAAGAUUGCACCCCUUCCUCUGACAAGGGAGGAGGCGUGAAGCCCAGAUCUGGAGUCAGGCAGACCUGGCUUUACAUUCUGGCCCUGGUACUCACUAGCUGUGUGACCUUGCACACAUCACUUAGCCUCUCUGAAUGAUAGUUCCUGCAUCUGUCACAUGGGGAGAAUAAUGCUCUGUUCUUUACAGGUUUGUGUGAGGAUUCAAUGCAGUAACACCAAAAUGUUGCAAGCCCAGACUUGGGCAUCCUUAUGUGCUCAAAUAAAUGAUCUCUGGGUUCCCUAAGAAGACCUCAGCUUCUGCAUCUGAAAACUAGGUCUCUCUCUGACUCGGAGUGAAAAGCGAAUUUACCUUUCCCCAUCCUGGUGGCAACGAGGGGGCCCAUGGUAGAACUGUGUGCAGCUUGGACAAACUCUGGGAGAGGGGUCCCAGCUGGGGUCUCCUGUUGGACACCCUUUGGAACUCAGAGCCGUGUUUACAGUAGGAGAGAGGAGCAGUUGAUUGGACAGCUCCCCACCCAGCCAGCCACACUAUCCGAGUCUCAGGCAUUUGGUGGAGUUCAGAGAGGAGGCCUCCAGCAAACGCAGGUCAGGGCCAAGCUGUCACACUGGUGAGGUUCAUACUUCACAUUCUUACCCUCUUCCCUAGGCUUCCCCUCCCUGCCUCCUUUGCUAAACUUGCCCUUCCUUGAGAAAGGACGGGAGGUCAGUCGCUUUACAGCGACUAAGAGAGGACGUCAGUCUUUGGAGAUACUCCUUCAUUUGACAUGUGGGGAAUCUGAAGCCCAGAGAUGGCAGGGCUUUGCCAGAGGCUACACAGCAGUCCUGAGGAUGAGAAUUCAUGCCAGAGACCCUUGAUCUAGGGCUGUUUCUCUAUGGUACUUCAUAGCCUAGUUCUGCCCAUUUUACAGAUGGAACAAACUGGGGCCCAAAACUGUAACAUAAGCCAGCAAAGGCUUCCCAGCCAACAUUAGCAAUGAGGAAUGAGGAAUGUACUUUAGGCAGGGGUUGGGGGAAAUGGGAUCCUUCCAGGACCCCUCCAAUUAUUCCUAGACCCACCUGCUUUGAAGAUGAUCUCUGCCUCCCCUCUCCCCCCAGGGAAAAGACAUCUGGAGAGAUCUGUAGCUAUCAGCUCCCCUUUGUCACCCAGGAAUCCUAAAUCUCCCCAUCCUGACAGAUCAGCCCAGUUGGGGCCCAGAUCCACAUUAGUGCCCUUGUCUCUCUGGCUCCCGUGAAAACUGGCUGUGAUGGUUGUGCAACUGGAGGCCACUAAGGUCAGGCUGGGCACCGCCUCACUCUGCCCCAGGGCUCUAGCCCAAUGCCCAGGUGGGAGAUUUUUCUCAAGACUCGGACAUCAACAGCCAGGCCUGGCAUCAAAAGCCUCUCCUCACCUGCAAUGUUUGCUGCCAGCUGCUCUGAGGGGUUGUGUUUCACUUGUUCAUUAGCUCAUUCAUUCUUUCUUUCUUGCAUUCAAUAUCUCUAGAGAACCUGCAAGGUGCCAGGCACUGCCCCACACAUUGAAGGUGGAGCAGCAAACAAGACGGUGAGGCCCUGCCUCCUGGAGCUCACUUUCUGGGGUGGGGAGACAGGCAGUAAAUCAAUAUACACAAGACAGAAGGUCAGAUGGAGGUAACAAGGCAGGAUGAAAAGGAUGAGAGAGGAAGCUGGCCUCCCAUGAGAAGAUGCUGGACUCAGAAAUCUUUGAAUUCUAGGCUUCACCUCUGAGUAACUGCGUGAACUUGGAUGAGCUACUUAAACGCUCUAAACUUCGGUUUCCAUAUCUGGCUAAAUAUACUGACAGCACAAAUAGCUAUGAAAGCUAAGGGUCCACCACCCCCUGACCCAGCAGGUACACUCCUAGCUACAGACCCAAGAGAAAUGAGCACACGUGUCCAAAAUGCAUGGACAAGGUGUUCGUGGGGGUUGUUCACAAUGGCCCCAAAUGAGUCAACCCUGAGGCUCAUCAUCAGAAGAAUGGCUGAAGCUGUGUGGGAUAGUUGCAGAGUGGAAUAUUUCAUAGCAACAACAUAAAGAAACUGCUGAUAGAUGCAGCAAUGUGGAAGAAUCUGACAUUUUGUUGAGUGAAAGAAGCCAGACACACAAGAAUAGGAGCUGUGUGAUUCCAUUAAGCCGAAUUCAAUAACAGAGUCUGGCUCUGUUGCCCAGGCUGGAGGGCAGUGACACCAUCUCGGCUCACUGCAAUCUCCACCUCCCAGGUUCAAGCAAUUCUCCUGUCUCAGCCUCCCGAGUAGCUGGAACUACAGGCACCCAGCACCACGCCCAGAUAUUUGUAUUUUUAGUAGAGACGGGGUUUCACCAUAUUGGUGAGGCUGGUCUUGAACUCCUGAUCUCACGUGAUCCGCCUGCCUCAGCCACCUAAAAUUCUGGGAUUACAGGCGUGAGCCACCACGCCUAGCUAGAAGUGGUUUAUAUCUUGAUCUAGUUGGUAUCACAUGGGUUUAUACCUAUGUGAAAAUUCAUUAAGCUUGAGCUCAUCAAAUAAUUUGAGAUUCAUGCAAGUUGUACCAUACGUACGUUAUAUUUCAAUAAAAAGGUGUUUCAAAAUGCCUAGCGAGCUGGUGAAGGAUAAAUGGGAUUGAGAAUGUAGCUAUGCCUGCCUCAAAAUAGGGCCUUGUGAAUGUUCCUGCCUCCCUAGUGCCACUCUGAGGGACAAGGGGUGCCCUCCAGCAGCCAGGCUCUGUCUAGACUGUUUUGACAUCAACUGCCAUUGACUGCUGUGAUCACCAUGACAGAGCACCAGCCAGGGUCAGGUGAUAUUGUGCUGUGCUGUUGGGUUUUGUUUUGUUUUGUAUUUUUUUGUUUUUGCUUUAUUUUUUCUGUUGCUUUGCUUUGUGAUGAGA
Pongo pygmaeus (Bornean orangutan) is the source of this 3624-nucleotide long non-coding RNA. RefSeq lists it as uncharacterized. The record is from RefSeq and is a predicted model, not a curated record. NCBI's taxonomy places the organism in Eukaryota, Metazoa, Chordata, Mammalia, Primates, Hominidae. The transcript has 3 exons.